GUAGGUGGCAAGCGUUGUCCGGGAAUUAUUGGGGCGUAAAGCGCGCGCAGGCGGUUCUUUAAGUCUGAUGUGAAAGCCCACGGCUCAACCGUGGAGGGUCAUUGGAAACUGGAGAACUUGAGUACAGAAGAGGGAAGCGGAAUUCCACGUGUAGCGGUGAAAUGCGUAGAGAUGUGGAGGAACACCAGUGGCGAAGGCGGCUUUCUGGUCUGUAACUGACGCUGAGGCGCGAAAGCGUGGGGAGCAAACAGGAUUAGAUACCCUGGUAGUCCACGCCGUAAACGAUGAGUGCUAAGUGUUAGGGGGUUUCCGCCCCUUAGUGCUGCAGCUAACGCAUUAAGCACUCCGCCUGGGGAGUACGGCCGCAAAGGCUG
RNAcentral lists this ribosomal RNA (374 nucleotides) under uncultured organism. Its description in RNAcentral is "partial 16S ribosomal RNA". It matches the Rfam family "Bacterial small subunit ribosomal RNA", at positions 527 to 896 of the family's 1533-position model. The record is from RNAcentral.